RNAcentral lists this ribosomal RNA (444 nucleotides) under uncultured bacterium. RNAcentral describes it as "partial 16S ribosomal RNA". It matches the Rfam family "Bacterial small subunit ribosomal RNA", at positions 339 to 795 of the family's 1533-position model. The record is from RNAcentral.
CUACGGGCGGCUCCAGUGGGGAAUAUUGCACAAUGGGCGCAAGCCUGAUGCAGCAACGCCGCGUGAGGGAUGAAGGCCUUCGGGUUGUAAACCUCUUUUAGCAGGGAAGAAGCGAAAGUGACGGUACCUGCAGAAAAAGCACCGGCUAACUACGUGCCAGCAGCCGCGGAAAUACGUAGGGUGCAAGCGUUGUCCGGAAUUAUUGGGCGUAAAGAGCUCGUAGGCGGUUUGUCACGUCUGCUGUGAAAAUCCAAGGCUCAACCUUGGACUUGCAGUGGGUACGGGCAGGCUAGAGUGCGGUAGGGGAGAUGGGAAUUCCUGGUGUAGCGGUGGAAUGCGCAGAUAUCAGGAGGAACACCAAUGGCGAAGGCACAUCUCUGGGCCGUAACUGACGCUGAGGAGCGAAAGCGUGGGGAGCGAACAGGAUUAGAUACCCGCGUAGUC